This 391-nucleotide unclassified non-coding RNA is filed under the name soil metagenome. Its description in RNAcentral is "partial contains 5.8S ribosomal RNA, internal transcribed spacer 2, and large subunit ribosomal RNA". The stretch from base 1 to 122 matches the Rfam family "5.8S ribosomal RNA", at positions 35 to 154 of the family's 154-position model. The record is from RNAcentral.
GAUGAAGAACGCAGCGAAAUGCGAUACUUGGUGUGAAUUGCAGAAUCCCGUGAACCAUCGAGUCUUUGAACGCAAGUUGCGCCCGAAGCCAUUAGGCCGAGGGCACGCCUGCCUGGGCGUCACACGUCGUUGCCCCCCCAUCUACUCCUUCGGGAUUGCGGGGGGCGGAUGAUGGCCUCCCGUGCGCCUCGCCGCGCGGUUGGCAUAAAUACCAAGUCCUCGGCGACGCACGCCACGACAAUCGGUGGUUGCGAAACCUCGGUUGCCCGUCGUGUGCGGUCGUCGCGCAUCGAGGGCUCGAAAAAAUUGCCGGGUUCCGGCUCGGCUUUCAACGCGACCCCAGGUCAGGCGGGGUUACCCGCUGAAUUUAAGCAUAUCAAUAAGCGGAGGA